AUGAACGCUGGCGGCGUGCUUAACACAUGCAAGUCGAACGGUAAGGCCCUUUCGGGGGUACACGAGUGGCGAACGGGUGAGUAACACGUGGGUAAUCUGCCCUGCACUUCGGGAUAAGCCUGGGAAACCGGGUCUAAUACCGGAUAUGAGCUCCUGCCGCAUGGUGGGGGUUGGAAAGUUUUUCGGUGCAGGAUGAGUCCGCGGCCUAUCAGCUUGUUGGUGGGGUAAUGGCCUACCAAGGCGACGACGGGUAGCCG
RNAcentral lists this ribosomal RNA (257 nucleotides) under uncultured bacterium. RNAcentral describes it as "partial 16S ribosomal RNA". It matches the Rfam family "Bacterial small subunit ribosomal RNA", at positions 29 to 289 of the family's 1533-position model. The record is from RNAcentral.